Molecule: ribosomal RNA, 376 nt
Filed under: uncultured bacterium
Lineage: Bacteria
Description: bacterial SSU rRNA
Rfam family: Bacterial small subunit ribosomal RNA
Source: RNAcentral
UACGUAGGGCGCGAGCGUUGUCCGGAAUUAUUGGGCGUAAAGAGCUCGUAGGUGGCUUGUCGCGUCUGCCGUGAAAGGCCUGGGCUUAACUCGGGUUUUGCGGUGGAUACGGGCUGGCUAGAGGUAGGUAGGGGAGAACGGAAUUCCUGGUGUAGCGGUGAAAUGCGCAGAUAUCAGGAGGAACACCGGUGGCGAAGGCGGUUCUCUGGGCCUUACCUGACGCUGAGGAGCGAAAGCGUGGGGAGCGAACAGGAUUAGAUACCCUGGUAGUCCACGCUGUAAACGUUGGGCGCUAGGUGUGGGGUUCUUCCAUGGGUCCCGUGCCGUAGCUAACGCAUUAAGCGCCCCGCCUGGGGAGUACGGCCGCAAGGCUAAA